UACGUAGGGCGCAAGCGUUAUCCGGAAUUAUUGGGCGUAAAGAGCUCGCAGGCGGUUUGUCGCGUCUGCCGUGAAAGUCCGGGGCUCAACUCCGGAUCUGCGGUGGGUACGGGCAGACUAGAGUGAUGUAGGGGAGACUGGAAUUCCUGGUGUAGCGGUGAAAUGCGCAGAUAUCAGGAGGAACACCGAUGGCGAAGGCAGAUCUCUGGGCCGUAACUGACGCUGAGGAGCGAAAGCGUGGGGAGCGAACAGG
RNAcentral lists this ribosomal RNA (253 nucleotides) under uncultured bacterium. RNAcentral describes it as "partial 16S ribosomal RNA". It matches the Rfam family "Bacterial small subunit ribosomal RNA", at positions 524 to 776 of the family's 1533-position model. The record is from RNAcentral.